Molecule: ribosomal RNA, 588 nt
Filed under: Rhodotorula mucilaginosa
Lineage: Eukaryota; Fungi; Basidiomycota; Microbotryomycetes; Sporidiobolales; Sporidiobolaceae
Description: eukaryotic LSU rRNA
Rfam family: Eukaryotic large subunit ribosomal RNA
Source: RNAcentral
GGAGGAAAAGAAACUAACAAGGAUUCCCCUAGUAGCGGCGAGCGAAGCGGGAAGAGCUCAAAUUUAUAAUCUGGCACCUUCGGUGUCCGAGUUGUAAUCUCUAGAAAUGUUUUCCGCGUUGGACCGCACACAAGUCUGUUGGAAUACAGCGGCAUAGUGGUGAGACCCCCGUAUAUGGUGCGGACGCCCAGCGCUUUGUGAUACAUUUUCGAAGAGUCGAGUUGUUUGGGAAUGCAGCUCAAAUUGGGUGGUAAAUUCCAUCUAAAGCUAAAUAUUGGCGAGAGACCGAUAGCGAACAAGUACCGUGAGGGAAAGAUGAAAAGCACUUUGGAAAGAGAGUUAACAGUACGUGAAAUUGUUGGAAGGGAAACGCUUGAAGUCAGACUUGCUUGCCGAGCAAUCGGUUUGCAGGCCAGCAUCAGUUUUCCGGGAUGGAUAAUGGUAGAGAGAAGGUAGCAGUUUCGGCUGUGUUAUAGCUCUCUGCUGGAUACAUCUUGGGGGACUGAGGAACGCAGUGUGCCUUUGGCGGGGGUUUCGACCUCUUCACACUUAGGAUGCUGGUGGAAUGGCUUUAAACGACCCGUCUUG